This 6916-nucleotide long non-coding RNA is filed under the name Nicotiana benthamiana. RNAcentral's name for it is "long non-coding RNA (NBEN_LNC030195)". Lineage: Eukaryota; Viridiplantae; Streptophyta; Magnoliopsida; Solanales; Solanaceae. The record is from RNAcentral.
UCAAAUCAAGUUUAAAUGAUAAGUAGUUAGUACAAAAUACUUCAAAAUCAUCCCAGAACUCGGUGUCACAAGUGCAUGUCCAUCUACUGAUAGGCAAAUAAAAUACAACACCCGUUCGAAAUACAAUGGACGGGAAGUAAAUUGAAUACAAUGGAAGGGACUAUACUAGCUGCAGGCCACCUCAAAUAAUGCAACUCACCUAGUCCCAGAAUCAUUCCGGCUGCUACGUCCAGUAGGCCACUAGAGUUACGCGUACCUAUGCAACAAAAAUGCACAGAAGUGUAGUAUGAGUACGUAAACCACGUGUGCUCAAUUAGUAUCCUGUCUAAUCUCGAAGAAGUAAAAACGAUAUGGUCAACUUCGAUAUUUACUAGUGGUCCAACAAUGAUAUCAAUAAUACAUUAAAUUGUGAAGUUCUACAAAUAUGAUUUUUUCCAAAUAGCAGAAAAACAUUAGACAAUUAUUCUUUUUAUAGGAAAUUUCCAAAAAUCCUUUUUCAUUAUUUUCCAAAUAUUCUCAAGCCAUGAACAGGCAAUAACAACUUUAAUAAGUUCAAGGAAAUAAUACCAGCAUGCGCAAAUAACCACUGUGGGACGUACGGCUCGAUCCAACAUAAAAGUAAAUUGUGCACUGCUGAGGGUCGAACGGCUUGAACCAUAGAUGCAUCUAUUAUCCCGCUCGCGAAUCAUCCAUGCGACACGGUCAAAUAUAAAUAAACAACACACCACUCGCGAAUCAUCCAUGCGACGCAUGUACACAUAGAAACAAGCAUUCAAACAGUCAAUCAAUACUUCACAAGCAAAAAAAAUAAUUACCCAAAGAAAUAGAAAUUCUCUUUAAUGGUCAAGAAAAUGAUGUUUAAUACUUUUGAAAUUCAUUUAUUGUUAUGAUGUGAUUUAAGCAAUUCAAGCAGUCAAUAAGUUUACAAAUUUUCCAAGUAUAACAUGCUUUUUGGAUCAUACACUACCCCAACUUAAAACAUAAUUGUAGCUACGCACGGACUCUCGUCACCUCGUGCGUACGUAGCCCCCAUAAAUAGGAGCACAUAACCAAUUAAUUCACCUAUUGGGACAAUUUCCUCUUACAAGGUUAGAAAGGAGACUCGGCUCGCUCCCCAGUUCCAUAACCGGCAUUCAACGCCCUUUCGAAUACUUAAAUCGAUGAAAAAAUGCUCCAAAAUCAAUGAUUUGACACGAAAAUCCGCUCUAAACGCCCACUCUCGGACCUAGGACUCAAAAUAUGAUAGAAUGAAGCAAAAACUCGAGUUACACGGCUAAAAUAAAGCCGCAGAUGUCGCAUUCCCUCGGAAAAGCGAAGAAGGCCUUCUCAAUGACGAACAAAGAGGGGUUGGAAAGGGUCGCAUUUGCAACAAAAAGUUCGCAAUUACGAACUGGGCAUCGCAAUUGCGACCAUACCAGAAGCAGCAAUAUUCCCAGAAACAAAAAUGAGCAUAACUUCCUCAUACGAUGUCCAAAUUCAAUGAUUCUUUCUUCUAUGACUCCGAAAUUUUGAUACGAAUCUAAUGGUUCAAUAAAAACUUAAUUUGGAGCUCAUUUGCUUAAUAUGAUACCCCUUUAUGUCCAAAGAAAUUACGUUGAAACGUCAAAUAAGUGCGCAAUACAAACCGAAACACACCUGAGGCCCCCGUGACCUCGUCCAAUCACGCCAACCAACUCCAUAACAUAAAAUGGACCUGCUUGAGGCCUCAAACCAUACCAAAUAAUGCUAAAAUCAUGAAUCAAUCUCCAAUUCAAGCUUUAUGAACUUUAGAAAUUCAAACUUCUAUUUUCGAUGCCGAAAUCUAUCAAAUCAUGUCUGAUUGACGUCAAAUUUUGCACACAAGUCAUAUUUGACAUUACGGACCUACUCCAACUUCUGAAAUCGAAAUCCGACCCCGAUAUAAAAAAGUCCACUUUCGGUCAAACUUCUCCAAAAAACCUUCAAUUUUUUAUCUUUAGACAAAUUGCUCCAAAAUGACGUACGGCCUCUACUUCCAAACUCGGAAUCCCAACCGGACAUCGAUAACAUUGAAAUGCACUUCUAGCCAAGCUUAUGAAAUUCCUUCCAAAAUGUUAGCUUCCACAAUAGACGUCAAAAUGCUCUCGGGUUAUCCAAAACCCAGACUGGGCAUACAUCCAAGUCUGAAAUCAUCAUACAAACCUGCUAAAACCUUCAGAUCCAGAUUUCGAUGUCGUUUACUCUAAAAUCCAAUCUUAGUUAAUUCUUUCAACUUUAAGCUUCCCAAAUGACAAUUCUCUUUCCAAAUUAACUCUGAACUUCCCGAAACUUAAUUCCAACCACGCAUACAAGUUAUGAUACCUAAAUUGAAGUUGUUCAUGGACUCAGACUGCUGAAUGACAUUCUAGAGCUCAUAAUGAUCGAUCGGGUCGUUAUAACAUCAUUUGUUAGAGUCUGGAUUCCAUCCAAAUGACUCUUAUUCUUCAUUUGUGCUAAGCAAUAAGCUGAGUUUGAAUCCCCCAGUUUCAACCAUUAAACUCUGGAUCUUUUCUUGUAUAUACUCUCUUUAAUAAUUAUCAAUUUCUCUAAUUCACAUUUCUAGGCUUUCUCCUUCUCAAUUAAUUCUAUAUCCGGUAAUCUAUAACUCAUUUCUUAGUGUACUGAAUGCAACUCCUUCCUAGCCUCCUUAAUCCUUUCAUCAACCCCUUUAUAGUGAUAUAUGUUUAUCCCUUUGAUUACCUCCUUUGUCUUUUUGAGAUUGUUCCUGACUGCCUGCAUCAUCCCUUUUGUACCUCUUUCUUUCCAACCUAGCUCAACUUGUUGUAUAAAUUGGGGAUGAUCAGCUAUGCAAUUGAAGAAUAUGAAUGGUUUGUUCUUCUUUCCCUGUACCUGAGUGAUCAUUAGUUUCAAUAGUGAAUGAUCAGACACUAAUGUCUCUAACACCUGCCCUUUCAAAUUUGGCAUUGUCAUCAUCCAGUUAGCAUUCACAAGCCCCCUAUCUAUCCUGCUAUAAGUAUGGUUGUUAGUCCAUGUGUAACUCCUUCCCACAUAUUGUAAUUCGUUCAUUCCUAGUGUCAGUCAUAUACUUCUUAAAAUCUUUUAUAUCCAUGUCUUGAAUCGUAGAUCCAUGUUGUCUAGCUUAUGCAUGUAAAAAAACAUUACAAUUCCCCAUAGCGAACCAAGGACCUUGUUGUAUACUAUGAAUCUGUCUCAGCUUUCUUCACAACUUCAACCUAUCUUUAAUGGUAUGCAAGCCAUAUAUUGCUGAGAAUCCAAAUGUGAUUGACUUUGAGACUAUUCUAAUUUGGCCAUGUAUCAGUUUUUCAUCAACUUCCACCGGUUCAAAUGUAUAGAUCCUAGGGUCCCACAUUACCCAUAUUCUACUUUUAUGACUCGUACUAGAGUUGGAUAUCCAUUUCCAUCCAAGUGCAAUCUUUUUAAACACCUCAUUUGUUUUGUGCUCUUAUACUCUAUGUUUAACCAAAUCUAUUAAUGCUUUAUUAUUUCAUUUUAUGAACUACGUUUAUUCAGUCUCCUAGCAUUCAAUGUUACCACACUCAUACAGGUAUGAAAUAAGGAUGGCAAUACAGUUCCUACACCCCUGAACUACUUAGUUGCACUGUGCUUGUACCUGGUUCAUCACACGUUUGGCCGUUUUUCAAACUUUGGAACCCAUUGCUUCCAGCUAGUUCCUGCUCUUCAUUUUGUUUAGCCUUAGCAACACUAGCUGCUAUCCAUCCCUCAUCAUUAUUUUAUGCAUCUUUCUUUUUCAGCUCCUAGCUUUGUCAUCUGAGCUGAUGCAGUUAUUUUCUAUUGCUCAGUCUCCUUCUUUUCAUUGGCACCAUCUCUAUCUGUUCUGAGCCAAACCUGCUUGCCUUUGAUCAUCUUCCUCUGUUGAAUCAUUCUUUGUGGUUGUGCAGUUUUAGUCUCAGUAUAAUCAUGUCCUAUUUUCAAGCACUUAGUACAGUAUUUUGGUUCCCAGUUAUAAGUAACUUCCUAUUGGAUUAGCCUCCCCUUAGGAUCUUGUAGUUUCACAAUCCUAGGUAGUGGUUUAGUGAUAUCCAUUUCAAUUAGCAUUCUUGCAUAAGAGAUCCUAAUUGAACAUGUAGUACAUUCAUCAGCAUACACAGGAUUCCCCAAUGUGCUACCUAUCUUGAUUAGUGCUUUCAUACUCUAACAAUUAAUAGGCAAGAUAGGGAAUCUCACCCAUAAGGGAAUAGUUUUCAGAACUUCAUCAUGCACAUUAAAAUGUUCUAACCAUGAUUCCAUGAUUGUAGGCUUAUUGUUCACUGUAUGAGGUCCAGAAUAUGACACCAAGUCCUUUUUCUCCAAGUUGCCAAACCUUAUCACAAAAUAACCUUCAUUAUGGUAAUAGAUAUGUGGUUUUACUGAGAACUUACUCACCGAGCUCAGGAAACUUUUCAUUGCUCCAAUAAUAGGUGUUUCCCCUAUCACAUACAGGACAAUCGCAGGUCUCCAUUUUUCAAUUUUUUGUUCCUCAUCAUCAAGUUCUAGUUUUGCUAUCUUCUCACCAUUUUGGACUACUGGAACUAUAAACUGUAAAUUCAUACAUUUCAUGGCCAAUUUAUUACCUACAACCACAUUUGCUCAUGACUGAUUCAUGUUUUUAUUCCUUGUCUCACCAUUAUUACUACUCUCAAUAGUAUCAGAACACGUUAACGUGCGUCGAGAGAGAAAUUUUACUGCAAAUGCUACUAGAUUGGUCUAAGUAUCACAUAAAACAAAUUCUACUAGAUUUUCACAAGCAUUAGAUUACUUGUGAAUGAAAAGUAAAGUUUGCUUAUUUCAAAAAUUGGCUGGUGAGACUAAGACAUUUCCAUGGGAUUUGCAGUUUAUAUGUUUUCUUGGGCCCUAUAUGGAGGAUGGCCAUUCAAAGGGACGGAGGCACUGAAUAGCAGCAGGUACUGUUAAUCUUUCGCUAAUGUUGCAUUUAUUUGUAAAUAGAGAACUCCGCUAGUUUUGUACAUCUGUUCUCAUUUGUCAUGGACUUAACAUUUUACACUGAUAGCCAAAUUCUUUAUUCUUCACAUUGUCAUGUAAUAAUAUGUCACACCUCCUUUUUACCACCCCGAAGGGGGAUAACGGAGUAUUUCAAAGUUAAGUGACAUUAUUCGAAAUGAGAUUUUAUUUAAUUUUAGAGUCGCCACUUGAAAUAUUUUAGUUGGUGUUCCAAGUCACCGGCCUAUUUGAAAUCCCAAAUCAAGGAAAUUUCGACUUUCCUAUUCGAAGUGCGCGAACCAGAAAUUCUAAGUAAGGAAUCUAUUAACCCAGGAGAAGGUGUUAGGCAUUCCCGAGUUCCGUGGUUCUAGCACGGUCGCUUCACAAUUUAUACUUGUCUUAAUUGUUUAACUACUCAUUUUAAGACCUAUGUGCAAUUAUUUGUUUACCGCUUUUAAAACCACUUGAUUAUUCGUAAUUAAAGAAUUGAGUUACGCGUACGUAUACUCUUUCCUUUGGCGCGUCAAAAAUCAUGCCGCGCGAAUGUGUCCAUAAUUAAUAACGCUUUAUUUAUUUAUUUAAGAGGAGUUUAGUUGAAGUUACGCAAACGCAUCUCUCGAGUCUUUUAAGAAUUGAUAUUACAAUUAUAUUAUGCGGACGUAUAUAUAAUCGCAAUACUAAACUAAUCGGACCUAAAGGAAACUACGACAGUCAUGAAUUAUUUGUUCCAAAUCUGAGCUUCAUUAUAAAAUCAUGACUUAAAGAAUUGUUGUAAGCAAAAAUAGAUGAAUCCUAACUUAUUAUAUUACUGAUGAAGCCCGAAAUUAGAGCAUGCUUCCACAAAUUGGAAUCCUUUAGCGUUAGAACUACAUAAUACAAGAUGGGACACAUAUAUAAAGCCAUUUUCACUAUCAUCAACAUGGAUCAUUUAUAGGGAAAUCAUGUUCCAAUGAUUGGCCUUGCUUUUAGGGGGGAAGAAUAUAGCGAAAUUUAUUAGAACACAGUGUUCUAUUUUAGAACAAGAAACAUGUCCAAAGUUUAGAUUAUUGUAUAUAGGAAAUUAAAGUUUUUGAUAAAAUUAUCUUUAAGGAACGUUGGGUGAAAAAGAUGCUGAAGAGGUGAACGCAAUGCAGAAUAAUAGGUGUUGCCAAUUUUUAUUUUUAUUUAGCAAUGUAGUACGUUGUGCUAGUAUUAAACAAAUAAUAGGCAACAGUAAAAUUCGUCCAAGCAAUAUUCCAAAAUGCCAACACUAAUAGAUCAAUAGAAAUUCUUCUACAACUAAUAAUGAAGAAAUGAACCGGAAAUUUCAAACCACACUAGCAUUCACCAUUUCACAAUCAGGCCUAAUAGAGCAUCAAACAAAACUACACUUAAACAGAGAAUAUUUUCAGUUUAACAUUCACGCCAAAAUGAGCGACAAACUAAAAUAAAUAAAACCAUAAUCAGAUUCAAUCGUGCAUCUAUGAAAUCAGUCAAGAAUAUGGCUUUAAUAAUUCAGAUUUUCCAUUCAUAGUUUUGAAGUAAAAAAACAGAUGAUUAUUUACGUACCUAAUUGCCGAAAAUUUAGAAAUGUAAGAUGAAUCUCGAACUUCUCUAAAUCGAACCAAGAAUGAAGCUGAAGUGAGUCAAAUGAAGGCCGAACACAGUGAAUGAUAUUCAAGCCAACAACAAAGAGAAGCAAACAGCAAGUUCCUCAGCAAACCAAAAGUUCUUAUCAAAAUACCAGAAGAAAUGGAAGCUCCUAGUUGAAAUUAUAGUUUUCCUUUCUAAUUUGGAGCGUUUUUUCUUUGUUCUUUUUUUCAGAUUUGGGAUUCAAGAGUAUUUAAUGUCUUUCAUAUGGUGAAGUAAAGAGGAAAGAGACACCAUGGGAGGGGAAAUCUGUUGUGUUUGUACGUGACUUUUGAAGAAGAAGAACGGAGCUCCAGUGUAAAGGCGCCGUUGUUUUCUCUUCUGAAAGGGAGCUCCUGAUAUUUUAGGUCUCAGAUGGAAGGAGAGUGUC